Molecule: long non-coding RNA, 271 nt
Filed under: Gossypium raimondii (Peruvian cotton)
Lineage: Eukaryota; Viridiplantae; Streptophyta; Magnoliopsida; Malvales; Malvaceae
Description: long non-coding RNA (GRAI_LNC007315)
Source: RNAcentral
UAGGUGCUUAUGUACUAGGCAAAAUGGAUUGGGUUUGGUAUGUUUAUAAUUUGGAUUUGAAUGAUGCUUUGAUGAUAUGUUUUAAUGAUAUAAAUGUGGUACCAAUAAGGGUACAUUGGUUAGGCACCUAGGAUGAUUAUUUUGACAUGUUUUGAAUGUAUUUGAUCAUGUUUUGAAUUGGUUAAACGAAUGAUUUUUGAGUUAUUUAAUGCCAAAGCAUGUAGGAAAUGGUAAAUUUUUUUGUUUAAGGCACAUUUUAAGUCCACACGGC